CCCUUAGAUGUUCUGGGCAGCACGCGUGCUACAAUGGUCUUCGCAAACGGAUGCAUUCUCGAAGGAGAAUGCCAAUCUUGGAAUCUAUGCCUUGGUCGGGACAGUUGCUUGCAAUUUUUCGACUCGAACCAGGAAUUCCUUGUAAUCGUGAUUCAUCACAUCACGAUGAAUACGUCCCUGCCCUUUGUACACACCGCCCGUCGCUCCUACCGAUCGAAGAGUUAGGUGAAUUGUUUUGAUCGAUAAGAUUUGACUAUGGUCAACUCUCGUUGUGAAAUUCUGUGAAUCUGACUGUUUAGAGGAAGGAAAAGUCGUAACA
RNAcentral lists this ribosomal RNA (319 nucleotides) under uncultured eukaryote. Its description in RNAcentral is "partial 18S ribosomal RNA". It matches the Rfam family "Eukaryotic small subunit ribosomal RNA", at positions 1470 to 1796 of the family's 1831-position model. The record is from RNAcentral.